UGUUAAGGCAGCACUCUUACAAGCAGGGAGAGCUCUGAAGCAGCCAGGACCGCACCUGAAUACUGUGCUGGCCGGGUACAUCUGUCUCAUUGUGGAGACAUUUCUGAGAUACCACGACAGGAGCAUUUGCACGGGCAGCGAAGGAGUCAUGGUGCUAAGAUCAACUCAGUGCAAAGUGGUGUGUGUCACGUACAGACAAAGAUCAGCCCACAUAUUCUUCUGGCAUUUGGACUCCAAGUUUGAAAACAAGAAAUCAAUAAAUGCUUAAUGGGACUCGGACU
RNAcentral lists this long non-coding RNA (281 nucleotides) under Fukomys damarensis (Damara mole-rat). Its description in RNAcentral is "lncRNA (ENSFDAG00000031921.1)". Lineage: Eukaryota; Metazoa; Chordata; Mammalia; Rodentia; Bathyergidae. The record is from RNAcentral.